RNAcentral lists this ribosomal RNA (195 nucleotides) under uncultured bacterium. RNAcentral's name for it is "partial 16S ribosomal RNA". It matches the Rfam family "Bacterial small subunit ribosomal RNA", at positions 332 to 528 of the family's 1533-position model. The record is from RNAcentral.
AAGGUACGGGAGGCAGCAGUGAGGAAUAUUGGUCAAUGGACGAGAGUCUGAACCAGCCAAGUAGCGUGUAGGAUGACGGCCCUAUGGGUUGUAAACUGCUUUUAUGCGGGGAUAAAGUGAGGGACGUGUCCCUCAUUGCAGGUACCGCAUGAAUAAGGACCGGCUAAUUCCGUGCCAGCAGCCGCGGUAAUCCUU